RNAcentral lists this transfer RNA (76 nucleotides) under Methanoregulaceae archaeon PtaB.Bin108. RNAcentral's name for it is "tRNA-Arg". It matches the Rfam family "tRNA". From Rfam's summary of the family: Transfer RNA (tRNA) molecules are approximately 80 nucleotides in length. Their secondary structure includes four short double-helical elements and three loops (D, anti-codon, and T loops). The record is from RNAcentral. Lineage: Archaea; Methanobacteriati; Methanobacteriota; Methanomicrobia; Methanomicrobiales; Methanoregulaceae. RNAcentral also lists the same sequence under 1 other name.
GGGCGUGUGGCCUAGUCAGGACAGGGCGGCAGCCUCCUAAGCUGUAGGUCGGGGGUUCAAAUCCCCCCACGCCCGC